AAUCAUGUGAAAUUACAAUUAUACCCUUUUUAUUUAUUUAUAUCUUAUUACAUGUACCGUUCCAACCUUUCGGCCCUUCCUCUUCCCCAUAUCAUUUAUUCUGCAAAACAAUGAUCGUGAAUCAUUUAUCCACGGUGAUCAGCCACUAUUGCGCUUCGUUUGGCGACGCUGAAUAACAAUGGAACCGAUUGAGAUUGAUGGCUUCGGCUUUGGAAGCGGCGAUGAGGUCACAGAACAUUCUGAAUCGCAGUUGAACAUUGAGCUUAUCAAGAGAGUUGCAGAUUUUAGUUUAAUCAGUAAUCAUUGGGUAAUUGAACUGGAACACGAGUUUAGCAGCAGAGAGUUGCAGAUUUGCUCGAAAUUCAUCAUGUUACCUCCUAUGGACUAGAUUAUCUGAAGAGCUGAUCUUUAAUGCUAUUCAUUUUUUGAUAAAAAUUGAAAAUGAGUUGUAUGUGAUGUUUCGUCCCACUCUUCAGGGCCUGAGUCCGUGGUCGAAAAAACUAUAACGGAUUGGAUUAAUGAGGAGCUUCAUGAUGACUCAUUUAAUCAUGUGCUUGAUUUUGUUUCACUGAGGAAAAGGCUUGUGGAUUUUGUUGAUCGUUGACUCAUGUUCUACGCAGUUCGGAGCUGAUUACUGCAGCAGUUUAAGCAAGUGAGUUGGCCAGCAGGACAAGAAUUUGGAGUGAUUGACAGAUUAAAAAAUGAGAAAGCAAAUGAUGUGGCUUGACAAGGCAAAUGCUCUGGCACAAUGUAUGGCUGCUAUUUCCUUGCUUGUUUUCUGAAGUUUGAGCAGCUAUGGUGGAGGCUGGAGGCACCGGUAAAAUGAGUGAGCAGUUCACCAUCAGAUUAUAUAUAGAGCUUAGCAUGGCCAACAUCACCACAACAAUUGCAACGACUUGAAGCUUUUAAUUGAUGUCGUCAGUUCCUUGCUUCAUCGCUCUCUCGGACAUCUUUUAUCGCUCAAGACAAGCAUCAAGUCAGAUGGAGAUGUGUUUCAUGAGGUCUUCAGUAGCAAACCACACC
Long non-coding RNA from Daucus carota subsp. sativus, 1023 nucleotides. RefSeq lists it as uncharacterized. Lineage: Eukaryota; Viridiplantae; Streptophyta; Magnoliopsida; Apiales; Apiaceae. The transcript has 5 exons. The record is from RefSeq and is a predicted model, not a curated record.